Non-coding RNA from Musa acuminata subsp. malaccensis (wild Malaysian banana), 100 nucleotides. NCBI's taxonomy places the organism in Eukaryota, Viridiplantae, Streptophyta, Magnoliopsida, Zingiberales, Musaceae. The record is from Rfam.
GGCGAGAUGAUGAGCCUUUCCCCAGAUGAUCGACUAUGAACACACUGUGCGCUAAUGUCUUCUCCUUUACGGAGAAGAUCAAGCCAGGACUCUGAUCUCC